UACGGGGGGGGCAAGCGUUGUUCGGAAUUACUGGGCGUAAAGGGCUCGUAGGUGGCCAACUAAGUCAGACGUGAAAUCCCUCGGCUUAACCGGGGAACUGCGUCUGAUACUGGAUGGCUUGAGUUCGGGAGAGGGAUGCGGAAUUCCAGGUGUAGCGGUGAAAUGCGCAGAUAUCAGGAGGAACACCAGCGGCGAAGGCGGCGCUCUGGGCCGGUACUGACACUGAGGAGCGAAAGCGUGGGUAGCAAACAGG
Molecule: ribosomal RNA, 253 nt
Filed under: uncultured bacterium
Lineage: Bacteria
Description: partial 16S ribosomal RNA
Rfam family: Bacterial small subunit ribosomal RNA
Source: RNAcentral